AUGAUGACUCUGAAGCAUGCAGCACAAUCCUGGGCCAGGGGAUCUCUUCUGUGAAAUGGGACAACAGCGCCCUCCUCAGAGUGGCUGUGAGGAUGAAAUGAGAAACGACAGUAAAGCGCUCAGCACAGUGGAUCAACCAAAACAACAAAGAAGGUACGAGAACAUUCCAUCUGUCCUUUCUCUCUUCUCCUGACUCUAUUCAGACAACAUCAGCUGGCAUUUCCUAUGGCAAGUAGUAUGGCCAAAAUUUGUUGUUAUUGCCUCCUACCUGCUUGAAUCACUCAAGGCUGCCUUCUCCACAGCAGCC
This 307-nucleotide long non-coding RNA is filed under the name Equus caballus (horse). Its description in RNAcentral is "lncRNA (ENSECAG00000045569.1)". The record is from RNAcentral. Lineage: Eukaryota; Metazoa; Chordata; Mammalia; Perissodactyla; Equidae.